Molecule: ribosomal RNA, 224 nt
Filed under: uncultured bacterium
Lineage: Bacteria
Description: partial 16S ribosomal RNA
Rfam family: Bacterial small subunit ribosomal RNA
Source: RNAcentral
GAUCAUGGCUCAGGACGAACGCUGGCGGCGUGCCUAAUACAUGCAAGUAGAACGCUGAAGAGAGGAGCUUGCUCUUCUUGGAUGAGUUGCGAACGGGUGAGUAACGCGUAGGUAACCUGCCUUGUAGCGGGGGGAUAACUAUUGGAAACGAUAGCUAAUACCGCAUAACAAUGGAUGACACAUGUCAUUUAUUUGAAAGGGUCAAUUAGUCUCCACCUACCAAG